Molecule: ribosomal RNA, 271 nt
Filed under: uncultured prokaryote
Description: partial 16S ribosomal RNA
Rfam family: Bacterial small subunit ribosomal RNA
Source: RNAcentral
UACGGAGGAUCCGAGCGUUAUCCGGAUUUAUUGGGUUUAAAGGGUGCGCAGGCGGGAGAUUAAGUCGGCGGUGAAAUUUUGCAGCUCAACUGUAAAAGUGCCUUCGAUACUGGUUUCCUUGAGUGUGGAUGAAGUAGGCGGAAUUUGUGGUGUAGCGGUGAAAUGCUUAGAUAUCACGAGGAACCCCGAUUGCGCAGGCAGCUUACUAAACCACUACUGACGCUCAGGCACGAAGGCGUGGGGAUCAAACAGGAUUAGAUACCCGUGUAGU